UACGUAGGUGGCAAGCGUUGUCCGGAUUUACUGGGCGUAAAGAGCGCGCAGGCGGUCGUUCAAGUCGCGUGUGAAAGCCCCCCGGCUCAACUGGGGAGGGUCACGCGAUACUGAUCGACUCGAAGGCAGGAGAGGGAAGUGGAAUUCCGAGUGUAGAGGUGAAAUUCGUAGAUAUUCGGAAGAACACCAGUGGCGAAGGCGGCUCACUGGACAUGUAUUGACGCUGAGGUGCGAAAGCGUGGGGGAGCAAAACAGG
RNAcentral lists this ribosomal RNA (256 nucleotides) under uncultured bacterium. RNAcentral's name for it is "partial 16S ribosomal RNA". It matches the Rfam family "Bacterial small subunit ribosomal RNA", at positions 524 to 776 of the family's 1533-position model. The record is from RNAcentral.